GAAUUUCUGUGCAGACGCGGGUCCAAGAGUAUGGAGGAGGAUAUUUUAGUAUUUCUGGGGACACUGUGUUGUUCUCCAAUUAUAAAGAUCAGAGAUUGUACAAGCAAUCAAUCAAUUCCAAAGAUUCUUGUCCAGUACCAAUCACUCCAGAUUAUGGAGAACCGGUUAUCAGUUAUGCUGAUGGAAUUUUUGAUUCAAGGUUUAAUCGUUAUAUCACUGUAAUGGAAGAUCGCCAUCUAAUUAGUUUAAAUUCAACAACAA
Long non-coding RNA from Hibiscus syriacus, 261 nucleotides. RefSeq lists it as uncharacterized. The record is from RefSeq and is a predicted model, not a curated record. The transcript has 3 exons. Lineage: Eukaryota; Viridiplantae; Streptophyta; Magnoliopsida; Malvales; Malvaceae.